CUCGCCCUACGGGAGGCAGCAGUAGGGAAUCUUCCACAAUGGGCGAAAGCCUGAUGGAGCAACGCCGCGUGGGUGAAGAAGGUCUUCGGAUCGUAAAACCCUGUUGUUAGAGAAGAAAGUGCGUGAGAGUAACUGUUCACGUUUCGACGGUAUCUAACCAGAAAGCCACGGCUAACUACGUGCCAGCAGCCGCGGUAAUACGUAGGUGGCAAGCGUUAUCCGGAUUUACUGGGUGUAAAGGGUGCGUAGGCGGCUUGGCAAGUCAGUAGUGAAAUCCAUGGGCUUAACCCAUGAACUGCUAUUGA
This 305-nucleotide ribosomal RNA is filed under the name uncultured bacterium. Its description in RNAcentral is "bacterial SSU rRNA". It matches the Rfam family "Bacterial small subunit ribosomal RNA", at positions 332 to 630 of the family's 1533-position model. The record is from RNAcentral.